GACGAACGCUGGCGGCGUGCCUAAUACAUGCAAGUAGAACGCUGAAGGAGGAGCUUGCUCUUCUGGAUGAGUUGCGAACGGGUGAGUAACGCGUAGGUAACCUGCCUGGUAGCGGGGGAUAACUAUUGGAAACGAUAGCUAAUACCGCAUAAAAUUGAUUAUUGCAUGAUAGUCAAUUAAAAGGUGCAAUUGCAUCACUACCAGAUGGACCUGCGUUGUAUUAGCUAGUUGGUGAGGUAACGGCUCACCAAGGCAACGAUACAUAGCCGACCUGAGAGGGUGAUCGGCCACACUGGGACUGAGACACGGCCCAGACUCCUACAGGAGGCAGCAGUAGGGAAUCUUCGGCAAUGGACGGAAGUCUGACCGAGCAACGCCGCGUGAGUGAAGAAGGUUUUCGGAUCGUAAAGCUCUGUUGUAAGAGAAGAACGAGUGUGAGAGUGGAAAGUUCACACUGUGACGGUAUCUGACCAGAAAGGGACGGCUAACUACGUG
This 495-nucleotide ribosomal RNA is filed under the name uncultured bacterium. RNAcentral describes it as "partial 16S ribosomal RNA". It matches the Rfam family "Bacterial small subunit ribosomal RNA", at positions 28 to 507 of the family's 1533-position model. The record is from RNAcentral.